AAAAUGAGAGAGGGACGCAUAUAGAGGAACGGCGCAGAAAGACUCCUUUGGAGCUUGAUCUUCUUCCUCAUCAAAACGAAAAACUCAACCGCUUCUUUUGCUUUUCUCUCGAGAACACAAAUCUCUCUUCAUAUUACACUGCAUUUCUCUCAAAAAAUACAGUAAUGAAAAGCUGUUGAGAAUUGAAAGUAGCUUAAAAAUUCAAUUGGAGAUCUGAGCCUUCAAAGAACUUUUUCAUCACUCGAAAAGCUCGAAAUUGGAGUGUUUAGCUGGGUUUUGGGUUUGGAUAUAACUCGAAAAGGGGAGUUGUUUUGUUGUUGUUGCUCCCACGUUGCUAGCUGAGCUCCAAUUUUUUGUUUCAAUCGUUAUUUGGCUUCUUUGUCUUCUAAAUCUCAUCCUUGCGUAAUUAGAUUCCUUAUCUAACUGGGUUUUGCUGUUUGAGCUGUCUUCAUAUUCCGGCCCUUUAAUGUUAAGAUUCUGCUUCAUGUGAAUUGAAAAGUUAAUAGGAAUUUAUAUAUGAAAUUUUCAUUUUUGGCAAAUACGAUUCCGAGCCGAUCUUAAGGAUGAGACAGAGUUCGAUACUUCACAAUUUUUGGAGAAAUGGGAUUUUCAGCAUUGUUAGUUUGCUUUCCUUCAACUGAUUUAUAUAUGUAACCAAAUUGUGAAGAUUUUUCGAUUUUCUUAGAUUGCCAAGUGAAAGACAAAUUAUCCGAAUGUUUAAGGAGUUACAUGCCACUGUCUGUUUCCAUGGUUUCUAA
Long non-coding RNA from Nicotiana tabacum (common tobacco), 758 nucleotides. RefSeq lists it as uncharacterized. Lineage: Eukaryota; Viridiplantae; Streptophyta; Magnoliopsida; Solanales; Solanaceae. The record is from RefSeq and is a predicted model, not a curated record.